GCUGUAGUAGCUUAAUGGUAAAGCAAAUCACUGUUAAUGAUCUGAUCUCUGUUCAAUUCAGAGCUACGGCU
RNAcentral lists this transfer RNA (71 nucleotides) under Coemansia erecta. RNAcentral's name for it is "tRNA-Asn". It matches the Rfam family "tRNA". Rfam says of the family: Transfer RNA (tRNA) molecules are approximately 80 nucleotides in length. Lineage: Eukaryota; Fungi; Kickxellomycota; Kickxellomycetes; Kickxellales; Kickxellaceae. The record is from RNAcentral. RNAcentral also lists the same sequence under 1 other name.